GGAGAGAUGUCCGAGUGGUUGAAGGAGCUCGCCUGGAAAGCGUGUGUACGUUAAUAGCGUACCGAGGGUUCGAAUCCCUCUCUCUCCGCCA
RNAcentral lists this transfer RNA (91 nucleotides) under Geobacteraceae bacterium. RNAcentral describes it as "tRNA-Ser". It matches the Rfam family "tRNA". Rfam says of the family: Transfer RNA (tRNA) molecules are approximately 80 nucleotides in length. Their secondary structure includes four short double-helical elements and three loops (D, anti-codon, and T loops). Lineage: Bacteria; Pseudomonadati; Thermodesulfobacteriota; Desulfuromonadia; Geobacterales; Geobacteraceae. The record is from RNAcentral.